AUUGAGUGGCAUAUCCCGGCAUACCAGAUACCGGAAAUAAAGAAAGGUAUGAGAAAGACUCGAAGCAGUGAACCUCGAGAACGAACCGAGUCCCAGAUUGGCCAGGCGGAGGUCCCACGCUGGCGUCACCACUCGAGGGACGAGGCGCCGCGCGGUCACGUGGAUAUCUGAAUUGCGCGUUAAUCACCUCAGUAAUUGAACACCGGUGUCAUUAGUUUGUGUAGUGGUCGUUAAUUGUACUUUGCAGUAGUGCAGGCAAAGGAAGCGUUAGACUCUAGCUUCCAUGGAGCUGACUUUGCCGUGGGUACUGAGCGCUGGCAGCAGGGAGUGUGGUGCUGGAGGCCUGGUGUUCCCUGUCUGAGUUACUCCGUGGCGACGCCGGACAGCAGUAGGAGCGAGCCGAAAAAAAUCCUAUCCCACAAACGAAAUGUCGUCUAAAACCUCCAAUAUCUCACCCUGACUUCACUCAACGUGGCGGUGAGUAGCAGCGUCCGCCGCCUGUCACUGGACUGCCUACCUCCACUAAUGACCGACUUGGUGACGCCUGACGCCUCCAAGUCCCUGAUUUCUGUUACACCUCCGCUCAUCACAUCAUGACCUGCCGUGCCUGUCUUCCUGAAUGGCAGCCGCGAUGUCUUCAUCUUCAACCUGCGCCUCAUUUCCUGCAAACUCGUACGUCUUCUUGAGCAGCGGGUUUGCAAGCGAGAUAAAAAGAAAAGGAAAAAAGGACAAAAGGAAAAAUAAAGAAAAAGAAAAAAAACGAAGAGAGAAAACGGACAGUAGGAAGCGAACUGAAAUGCUGAAACGAUAUCGAAUGAAAAUAAAUAAAUAAAUACUACUUUUCAAAGACGGAUAUUCAAGUGCAAGAUGAGCCUUGAAAUUUUCAUAUUACUAAACAAAUACUUAAAGAAUAAAAAAAACUUUUGAUCAAUAAGGGCUUCAAUUGUAAACACCCAUUGAAAUCUU
Molecule: long non-coding RNA, 966 nt
Organism: Scylla paramamosain (green mud crab)
Lineage: Eukaryota; Metazoa; Arthropoda; Malacostraca; Decapoda; Portunidae
Exons: 3
Source: RefSeq, a predicted model, not a curated record